Molecule: unclassified non-coding RNA, 1207 nt
Filed under: Leishmania donovani
Lineage: Eukaryota; Euglenozoa; Kinetoplastea; Trypanosomatida; Trypanosomatidae
Description: gene:LdHU3.36.3560(CDS-product:hypothetical_prote in_conserved)
Source: RNAcentral
GGAGGGUCAGAAAUUAUCACACAUCACGUGUCGAACUCGUGGGUGCGCGUGUCUGUGGGGGCGGGUCAUUUGGGCACCCUGUACCCUUCCACACAUCUGAGUAGCUCACGACUGUGAGACGCCACAGCUCGCACAUCGCUCUACUUCUCUGCUCUAUAGCCUUCGACGUUAGCCUUUCCCUUUCGUUCGUUCUGGCGUGUGAUGCCAUGGAUCCAUCGAAGCGCAUCUGUCUCAAGAACCUGCCAGAGGGGUGCACGAAGCGCGAAAUCGCCGAGCUGGUGCGCAACCGCACAGGCACACCGAUCCACAGCAUCGACCUCGGCCUCGACGCCGACGGGAAAACGCGGCGCUAUGCCCAUUUUUCCUGCGAGGGCGCAAAGCAUGUUCUGGAGGUGCUGAGCGCUGGAGUAUCGUUGCGCGAUUCCACCAUCUACGCUCAUCCUGCCAAGGCGCACUACUCGUUCCGCUACGCUGAGGCUCGCCGCAAGCGAGAGCGGGAGGAAGCGGAGGAAAAGGAGCGGCUAGAGGCGUUUUGGGCUGCCACGAGGCAGCGCUUUUUGGACCGCACAAACGGCGGCGAGCUGCCCAAGAGCAAAACGCCCAAAGACUUCUACGCGUCAAAGCGCAGGUAUGCGCGUAUCGCGGCCGAGAUCGCUCAAACGUCGCGCAACGCGCACGCCGCCGCAGGUGACGCCGCCUAUGCCGAGCACCCACGCGGCGCCGCCCACGCGACGCCGUCCUUCUCAGGCGCAGACUGUGGCGCGAAUAGCGCCCCUCGGGCUGCUUCCAAGAAUCACGCCACCUCAGGUGGUGGUGACGCCAAUGCAGCAAAGAAGUGCGCAUCGAGGCUCACUGCUGCCAAGUCUAAAGCACCUGCUGCCGCACCUCCACCGCCGCCGCCGCCGGAGCCCACGAAAGAGGAGCGAAAGCUGAGCGGCCUCCAGGCGAAGCUAGCUGCGCUUAAGGAGAAGCUGAAGAAGUGAGGCAAGGUUGAGAUCAAUGUGCGCUUGCGUUGUGGGGUGUGGUCUCGCUGCUCAUCUUGACUUGAGGCAAGUGCGUCUCCUCUACUUUUACUUUUUCCGGUUAUACACUUGAGUGAGCAUGAGGGUUCAUGGAUGUCGUGUGUGUGUGUGUGUGUACCUAACUGCGAGUAAUGAGUUAUGCGCUCACCCACGCAAUUGACCCAUGCUGCGAAAAUCAGUUGCCC